AGCGAACGCUGGCGGCAGGCCUAACACAUGCAAGUCGAACGGACCCUUCGGGGUUAGUGGCGGACGGGUGAGUAACACGCGGGAACGUGCCUUUUGGUUCGGAAUAGCUCCUGGAAACGGGCGGUAAUGCCGAAUGUGCCCUUUGGGGGAAAGAUUUAUCGCCAUUAGAGCGGCCCGCGUCUGAUUAGCUAGUUGGUGAGGUAAAGGCUCACCAAGGCGACGAUCAGUAGCUGGUCUGAGAGGAUGACCAGCCACAUUGGGACUGAGACACGGCCCAAACUCCUACGGGAGGCAGCAGUGGGGAAUCUUGCGCAAUGGGCGAAAGCCUGACGCAGCCAUGCCGCGUGAAUGAUGAAGGUCUUAGGAUUGUAAAAUUCUUUCACCGGGGACGAUAAUGACGGUACCCGGAGAAGAAGCCCCGGCUAACUUCGUGCCAGCCGCCGCUGUAA
RNAcentral lists this ribosomal RNA (449 nucleotides) under uncultured bacterium. Its description in RNAcentral is "partial 16S ribosomal RNA". It matches the Rfam family "Bacterial small subunit ribosomal RNA", at positions 29 to 523 of the family's 1533-position model. The record is from RNAcentral.